Molecule: long non-coding RNA, 2907 nt
Organism: Suricata suricatta (meerkat)
Lineage: Eukaryota; Metazoa; Chordata; Mammalia; Carnivora; Herpestidae
Exons: 4
Source: RefSeq, a predicted model, not a curated record
UACAAUAUGACAGGAGGGCGCAUUGGCAGUGGGUGGUGCGGCGCGGUGUGAUUGGCUAAUUUAAAACUAAGCCACCCUAAGAAGUAGUGGGAAUGUCAGGUACCUUUCUGGCAUCUUAUAUUGGCGGGGGCUAGGGUUGUUGCUUGCUCAGGCAAUAGGUGGGUGGGUGUCGUUUUUUCUUUCCGCAACUGCUGAGUCACUCCUAGGAAAACAGUAGUCAGGCCUUCUAGUUUCUGAGGCUUAUUUGAAGCCUGUCAUGGUGUUAGUUUGGCCCUUCACAUUCAACGUGUAUACAUUCAUGGCCUCCCAUCUACCCUAAUACGCGUUAUGCCCUGGGAUAGGAAUGAACAACAUAGUAACGUUUGCAAGCACUAAGCUCUGAGGGAGGAGCCAACCUAUGAUAAGUAAAUAACCAAGACUCUUUACAAAUCUAAGGAGUAAUAUGAGGGAAUUAGCCUCUGAGCCGAGGCCAGAAGGAUGAGAAGGAGUCAAGCAAUUAGAUCAGGGUGUGAAGAACGUUCCAGAUAGUUAAUAGCAAAUGGAAAGGACCUGAGGGGCAGGGCCUGUAUUCAGUUGUUUGGAAAGUGAGUUGUGACUGAGGAGGGGAGAGCGUCGGGGGCUUGGAGGCUUGCCCGGUGAGGAGGCUGGAGAUUAUUCUGAAUGAGCUGAGACCACUGGAUGGCUGAACGCUGUGCGGGGACAAGGACUGACGUAUAAUUUAACAGGACGCCUGGAGCUGCUGCGUGGGAACAGGGUGAGAGUUGGGGGGGGGGGCGGACGCGGGCAGAACGGUGAGGAGGCUCCUGCAGUGUCCAGAUGUGCACUGCUGUGGCUCCGGGCUGGGUAGAGGCCGUGGGAGUGGAGAGAAGCGGUCCGUUUCUGGAUCUCUUCAGGAAACAGAGCAGGUUGGACUCACACAAGACUUGAACGACGCAGCCAGGAGGUCAGAGAAACAGAGGACUACCGACUUGAAGGUUGUCCCUUGAGCACUUGUAAGGACAGUGGGACCGUUUUGUGGGGGAGGCUGUGAGGAGGAGGGAAGAAUAGGGAAAUAUUGUUAGAGGCGUAGGUUUACACCAGAGAAUCUCUAAUUUUGUUUGGGCACCAUAAUUUCGAGAUCCUUUGUUUAUUCUGCAAGUGUUUCCUGGAACCUGAGAUGGGUUGGCGCUUCCUCUGGGGUUCCAGGGCCGCCGGACGCCCCCCAGGCCAGCAGUGAUCACUCUAGAGUGUAAUCAGGGCAGAGGAGGCUGCGUUCGAACCACCCUCAGGUGAAGGGGAGGAAAGCAAGGAGUCAGAACCUAGACAGGAUCCAAAGCGGGUCAGCAGGGACACCGGCUGCUUAGGGCACUCUGGUCCAGAGGGUAGCAGGACGCAGUCGAUGGAGGAUCAAGGAGAGCAGUGCCAUCCCUCCAGGGAUCCCUAACGGAAUGCGUGCGAGAGUAAGAUGGAGACCCUCAACUCCUACGUGGCCGCACGACAAAGGGCCGGGAUCCGCCUGCAGAGAAUGGGACCUCAAGUGAGUUGAACCCAUGCUGGAGAGUCUAGGCUCCCAAGAAAACGCAGAAGUGGGUGAAGGGACUACGAUUCCCAGAGGGCUUUGGGUUUACCCAUCUUUGAGUCCCAGGUGCAGGCGGGGCGAUUUGGCCCGAAGCGCAUUCAGCUGCAGGACCAGCUGGGCCACCGCGCUGCGACCCUCGUAGUGACGUCACGGGCUCCGCCCAAGGCUCCCAGAGUGCUCCAGGCCUGGCCUGCGCGUCUCCCUUCUGUUCCUGCGCGGAAACAGGAGGAGCUAUUUGGCCGAACUGAAAUAACAGUGCAGUAAAGCUCUGAAAUUCCCUACCCGACUGUUGCCUGAGUGAGUUCGAGCUCGUUGGGUUACAACAGGCUGAUAAGAGAACCUGCCCCGCCGACUGCUUGUGAAGAUAAAUGAGUUAAAACGGAACGCUCCUGCUUUGCAGGUUUCUUUAAUUCAGUGCUUGAGUGGAUCUCAGCACCACCCGCAUCCUUCUGAGUGAGACGUUAAUGAAAAGGUUUCCUUCGAGACUGGACAUCAUUGGCAAAAAGAGGACGUGAAAGCCAGCCUGCGGCGCUUGCGCCCUCUUGGGGAUACUUCAAGGAACAAACCAGUGCACUCAUGGUGGAGAAUCCAAACCAUCACUACGAGUAGGAAAUUAAAGUAACCAAAGGCACAACAGGAGAGACCAAGGAGCACGCUUCAAAGAACGCCUCCUGAACGGCCAGGCCCUGGUCAGUGUCUGAGCUCCUUUACUUCAGCGGUCUCAAAGGUGCCAAGCACAUAACAAGCUUUUAAACCUGACAAGAGACAGAAAGCUAGCCAAAAUGACAAAACAGAAGAACGCUCCUCUACAGAAAUUCAAGGAAGGAGUCACAGCCACAGAACUGCUCAAAACAGAUCUAAGCAACUUAACUAAACAAGAAUUUAAAAUACUUUUCAUAAAACUAAUCGCUGGGCUUGAAAAAAGCAUCAAAGAAUCUUUUGAUACAAUAAAUAAGGAGGUUCAAAACUUACAAAAAGCUGUAAAUGGGAUGAAUAAUAAAAUGGAAGCGGCCACCCAAAAGGCUACAAAUGAGGUGAAUAAUAAAACGGCAGCCACUGCAUGGACCCAAGGGGCCAAGAAGACAAUAGUUGAAUUAGAAGACACAAUAAUAAAAAAGGAGGAAGCUGAGGAAGAGAGAGAUACAUCGAUCCAUGAGCACAAAAGGGGAAUUCCUGAACUGAGGGGUGGUCUCAAAUGGAACAAUAUCCGGAUCAUAGGAAUUCCAGAAGAAGAAGAGAGAGAGGAAGGGGCUAAAGAGAUCCUUGAACAAAUCAUAACUGAGAACUUCCCCAACCUGAGGAAGGAAACAGCCAUUGAAAUUCAAGAGGCACACAGAACUCCCCUCAGA